RNAcentral lists this ribosomal RNA (539 nucleotides) under Salmonella enterica subsp. enterica serovar Anatum. RNAcentral's name for it is "partial 23S ribosomal RNA". It matches the Rfam family "Bacterial large subunit ribosomal RNA", at positions 2182 to 2720 of the family's 2925-position model. Lineage: Bacteria; Pseudomonadati; Pseudomonadota; Gammaproteobacteria; Enterobacterales; Enterobacteriaceae. The record is from RNAcentral.
GGAGCCGACCUUGAAAUACCACCCUUUAAUGUUUGAUGUUCUAACGUGGACCCGUGAUCCGGGUUGCGGACAGUGUCUGGUGGGUAGUUUGACUGGGGCGGUCUCCUCCUAAAGAGUAACGGAGGAGCACGAAGGUUGGCUAAUCCUGGUCGGACAUCAGGAGGUUAGUGCAAUGGCAUAAGCCAGCUUGACUGCGAGCGUGACGGCGCGAGCAGGUGCGAAAGCAGGUCAUAGUGAUCCGGUGGUUCUGAAUGGAAGGGCCAUCGCUCAACGGAUAAAAGGUACUCCGGGGAUAACAGGCUGAUACCGCCCAAGAGUUCAUAUCGACGGCGGUGUUUGGCACCUCGAUGUCGGCUCAUCACAUCCUGGGGCUGAAGUAGGUCCCAAGGGUAUGGCUGUUCGCCAUUUAAAGUGGUACGCGAGCUGGGUUUAGAACGUCGUGAGACAGUUCGGUCCCUAUCUGCCGUGGGCGCUGGAGAACUGAGGGGGGCUGCUCCUAGUACGAGAGGACCGGAGUGGACGCAUCACUGGUGUUCGGG